Molecule: microRNA, 22 nt
Filed under: Columba livia (rock pigeon)
Lineage: Eukaryota; Metazoa; Chordata; Aves; Columbiformes; Columbidae
Description: cli-miR-9629-3p
Source: miRBase by way of RNAcentral
CACUCGCACGAGGGGCUCUACC